GGGAAACAGGAUGAGGGGCCAGCCCCAGGCCCCUUUAAAAAAUGGGACA
Regulatory RNA element from Nomascus leucogenys (northern white-cheeked gibbon), 49 nucleotides. The record is from Rfam. Lineage: Eukaryota; Metazoa; Chordata; Mammalia; Primates; Hylobatidae.